RNAcentral lists this transfer RNA (86 nucleotides) under Firmicutes bacterium HGW-Firmicutes-13. Its description in RNAcentral is "tRNA-Leu". It matches the Rfam family "tRNA". Rfam says of the family: Transfer RNA (tRNA) molecules are approximately 80 nucleotides in length. Their secondary structure includes four short double-helical elements and three loops (D, anti-codon, and T loops). Further hydrogen bonds mediate the characteristic L-shaped molecular structure. tRNAs have two regions of fundamental functional importance: the anti-codon, which is responsible for specific mRNA codon recognition, and the 3' end, to which the tRNAs corresponding amino acid is attached (by aminoacyl-tRNA synthetases). tRNAs cope with the degeneracy of the genetic code in two manners: having more than one tRNA (with a specific anti-codon) for a particular amino acid; and 'wobble' base-pairing, i.e. permitting non-standard base-pairing at the 3rd anti-codon position. The record is from RNAcentral. Lineage: Bacteria; Bacillati; Bacillota.
GCCGAAGUGGCGGAAUUGGCAGACGCACUUGACUCAAAAUCAAGCGGGCUUUGCUCGUGCCGGUUCGAGUCCGGCCUUCGGCACCA